This 1246-nucleotide ribosomal RNA is filed under the name Metabacillus niabensis. RNAcentral's name for it is "bacterial SSU rRNA". It matches the Rfam family "Bacterial small subunit ribosomal RNA", at positions 108 to 1334 of the family's 1533-position model. Lineage: Bacteria; Bacillati; Bacillota; Bacilli; Caryophanales; Bacillaceae. The record is from RNAcentral.
UUAAAACACGUGGGGUAACCUUGCCUGUAAGAUUGGCGAUAACUCCGGGAAACCGGAGCUAAUACCGGAUAACAUUUCGAACCGCAUGGUUCGAAGUUGAAAGGUGGCUUUUGCUACCACUUACAGAUGGACCCGCGGCGCAUUAGCUAGUUGGUGAGGUAACGGCUCACCAAGGCAACGAUGCGUAGCCGACCUGAGAGGGUGAUCGGCCACACUGGGACUGAGACACGGCCCAGACUCCUACGGGAGGCAGCAGUAGGGAAUCUUCCGCAAUGGACGAAAGUCUGACGGAGCAACGCCGCGUGAGCGAAGAAGGCCUUCGGGUCGUAAAGCUCUGUUGUUAGGGAAGAACAAGUACCGUUCAAAUAGGGCGGUACCUUGACGGUACCUAACCAGAAAGCCACGGCUAACUACGUGCCAGCAGCCGCGGUAAUACGUAGGUGGCAAGCGUUGUCCGGAAUUAUUGGGCGUAAAGCGCGCGCAGGCGGUUUCUUAAGUCUGAUGUGAAAGCCCACGGCUCAACCGUGGAGGGUCAUUGGAAACUGGGGAACUUGAGUGCAGAAGAGGAGAGUGGAAUUCCACGUGUAGCGGUGAAAUGCGUAGAGAUGUGGAGGAACACCAGUGGCGAAGGCGACUCUCUGGUCUGUAACUGACGCUGAGGCGCGAAAGCGUGGGGAGCGAACAGGAUUAGAUACCCUGGUAGUCCACGCCGUAAACGAUGAGUGCUAAGUGUUAGAGGGUUUCCGCCCUUUAGUGCUGCAGCAAACGCAUUAAGCACUCCGCCUGGGGAGUACGGUCGCAAGACUGAAACUCAAAGGAAUUGACGGGGGCCCGCACAAGCGGUGGAGCAUGUGGUUUAAUUCGAAGCAACGCGAAGAACCUUACCAGGUCUUGACAUCCUUCGCUACUUCUAGAGAUAGAAGGUUCCCCUUCGGGGGACGAAGUGACAGGUGGUGCAUGGUUGUCGUCAGCUCGUGUCGUGAGAUGUUGGGUUAAGUCCCGCAACGAGCGCAACCCUUGAUCUUAGUUGCCAGCAUUCAGUUGGGCACUCUAAGGUGACUGCCGGUGACAAACCGGAGGAAGGUGGGGAUGACGUCAAAUCAUCAUGCCCCUUAUGACCUGGGCUACACACGUGCUACAAUGGAUGGUACAAAGGGCUGCAAGGCCGCGAGGUCAAGCCAAUCCCAUAAAACCAUUCUCCUUUCCCAUUGCAGGCUGCAACUCGCCUGCAUGAAGCCGGCAAUAG